CACCGCGGUUAUACGAGCGGCCCAAAUUGAAAGCCUUCGGCACAAAGCGUGGUUAAUAAAACCCAAACUAAAGUUAAACCCCCUCAAAGCUGUCAUACGCUCACGAAGAAGGGAAGCCCAACAACGAAAGUGACUUUAAACUUUAUGACCCCACGAAAGCUAAGAAA
This 167-nucleotide ribosomal RNA is filed under the name Trimma rubromaculatum (red-blotched pygmy-goby). Its description in RNAcentral is "partial 12S ribosomal RNA". The record is from RNAcentral. Lineage: Eukaryota; Metazoa; Chordata; Actinopteri; Gobiiformes; Gobiidae.